GGCCCGGUAGCUCAGUGGUUAGAGCGCUGGCUUCGCAAGCCAAAUGACCGGGGUUCGAUUCCCCGGCCGGGUGG
Molecule: transfer RNA, 74 nt
Filed under: Portunus trituberculatus (swimming crab)
Lineage: Eukaryota; Metazoa; Arthropoda; Malacostraca; Decapoda; Portunidae
Description: tRNA-Ala
Rfam family: tRNA
About the family: Transfer RNA (tRNA) molecules are approximately 80 nucleotides in length. Their secondary structure includes four short double-helical elements and three loops (D, anti-codon, and T loops). Further hydrogen bonds mediate the characteristic L-shaped molecular structure. tRNAs have two regions of fundamental functional importance: the anti-codon, which is responsible for specific mRNA codon recognition, and the 3' end, to which the tRNAs corresponding amino acid is attached (by aminoacyl-tRNA synthetases). tRNAs cope with the degeneracy of the genetic code in two manners: having more than one tRNA (with a specific anti-codon) for a particular amino acid; and 'wobble' base-pairing, i.e. permitting non-standard base-pairing at the 3rd anti-codon position.
Source: RNAcentral